AGUCAUCAACCCCUCCGGUUUCGUGCGGGAGGAGGGUUGGAGUUGGGGGCUUGCGGCCGCGAGGCUCGCUCCCCUCAAAUGCUUCGGUUGGGCCUGUGGGGUCGAACUCGGUAGGGCGUUGUACCAUCCUCGCUCUUGCUCCGAGAGGUUCCUCCUUUGUUUGAGCCCUCCCUCGACCGCCUCUAGAGCGGCGGUCAAGCUAACUUUGAA
Molecule: unclassified non-coding RNA, 210 nt
Filed under: uncultured Trechispora
Lineage: Eukaryota; Fungi; Basidiomycota; Agaricomycetes; Polyporales; Polyporaceae
Description: sequence contains ITS2
Source: RNAcentral